RNAcentral lists this ribosomal RNA (501 nucleotides) under uncultured bacterium. RNAcentral describes it as "partial 16S ribosomal RNA". It matches the Rfam family "Bacterial small subunit ribosomal RNA", at positions 899 to 1397 of the family's 1533-position model. The record is from RNAcentral.
ACUCAAAUGAAUUGACGGGGGCCCGCACAAGCGGUGGAGCAUGUGGUUUAAUUCGACGCGACGCGCAGAACCUUACCUGGGCUAGAAAACGUAGGAACUUGGGUGAAAACUCGAGGUGCCCUUCGGGGAAUCUACGGUUAGGUGUUGCAUGGCUGUCGUCAGCUCGUGUCGUGAGAUGUUGGGUUAAGUCCCGCAACGAGCGCAACCCUUGUCGUUAGUUGCCAGCAUUAAGUUGGGCACUCUAACGAGACUGCCGACCUUUAAGUCGGAGGAAGGUGGGGAUGACGUCAAGUCCUCAUGGCCCCUAUGUCCAGGGCUACACACGUGCUACAAUGGCCGGUACAAAGGGUCGCGAAACCGCGAGGUGGAGCCAAUCCCAAAAAACCGGCCUCAGUACGGAUAGGAGUCUGCAACUCGACUCCUUGAAGGCGGAAUCGCUAGUAAUCCCUGAUCAGCAUGGCAGGGGUGAAUACGUUCCCGGGCCUUGUACACACCGCCCGU